RNAcentral lists this ribosomal RNA (435 nucleotides) under Streptomyces viridosporus. Its description in RNAcentral is "bacterial SSU rRNA". It matches the Rfam family "Bacterial small subunit ribosomal RNA", at positions 557 to 992 of the family's 1533-position model. The record is from RNAcentral. Lineage: Bacteria; Bacillati; Actinomycetota; Actinomycetes; Kitasatosporales; Streptomycetaceae.
GGCGUAAGAGCUCUAGGCGGCUUGUCACGUCGGUUGUGAAGCCUGGGGCUUAACCCCGGGUCUGCAGUCGAUACGGGCAGGCUAGAGUUCGGUAGGGGAGAUCGGAAUUCCUGGUGUAGCGGUGAAAUGCGCAGAUAUCAGGAGGAACACCGGUGGCGAAGGCGGAUCUCUGGGCCGAUACUGACGCUGAGGAGCGAAAGCGUGGGGAGCGAACAGGAUUAGAUACCCUGGUAGUCCACGCCGUAAACGGUGGGCACUAGGUGUGGGCAACAUUCCACGUUGUCCGUGCCGCAGCUAACGCAUUAAGUGCCCCGCCUGGGGAGUACGGCCGCAAGGCUAAAACUCAAAGGAAUUGACGGGGGCCCGCACAAGCGGCGGAGCAUGUGGCUUAAUUCGACGCAACGCGAAGAACCUUACCAAGGCUUGACAUACACC